AGGGACAUAGUUUAGCAGGUAGAGCACUCGACUGAUAUUCGAGAGGUCGCCGGUUCGAUUCCGGCUGUCCCUACCA
Molecule: transfer RNA, 76 nt
Filed under: Cohnella terricola
Lineage: Bacteria; Bacillati; Bacillota; Bacilli; Caryophanales; Paenibacillaceae
Description: Cohnella sp. G13 tRNA-Ile
Rfam family: tRNA
About the family: Transfer RNA (tRNA) molecules are approximately 80 nucleotides in length. Their secondary structure includes four short double-helical elements and three loops (D, anti-codon, and T loops).
Source: RNAcentral